This 64-nucleotide transfer RNA is filed under the name Theromyzon tessulatum. RNAcentral's name for it is "tRNA-Trp". Lineage: Eukaryota; Metazoa; Annelida; Clitellata; Rhynchobdellida; Glossiphoniidae. The record is from RNAcentral.
AAGAUUUUAAGUUAUAUAAACUAAGAACCUUCAAAGUUCUAAAAGAAUUUUAAUUCAAAUCUUG